GGCGCCAUCGUCUAUCGGUUAGGACAUCGCCCUUUCAAGGCGGAAAGACGGGUUCGAUUCCCGUUGGCGCUACCA
This 75-nucleotide transfer RNA is filed under the name Pseudomonadota bacterium. RNAcentral's name for it is "tRNA-Glu". It matches the Rfam family "tRNA". Rfam says of the family: Transfer RNA (tRNA) molecules are approximately 80 nucleotides in length. Their secondary structure includes four short double-helical elements and three loops (D, anti-codon, and T loops). RNAcentral also lists the same sequence under 13 other names. Lineage: Bacteria; Pseudomonadati; Pseudomonadota. The record is from RNAcentral.